AGACUGCUGCAGGAAAGAGAGCUUGUUGAGCCUCUUACACCCAGUGGAGAAGCUCCCAACCAAGCUCUCUUGAGGAUCUUAAAGGAAACAGAAUUCAAAAAGAUCAAGGUGCUGGGCUCUGGAGCAUUUGGCACAGUGUACAAGGGACUCUGGAUCCCGGAAGGCGAGAAGGUUAAAAUUCCCGUGGCCAUCAAGGAAUUAAGAGAAGCCACAUCUCCAAAGCCAACAAGGAAAUUCUUGAUG
Molecule: long non-coding RNA, 243 nt
Organism: Ailuropoda melanoleuca (giant panda)
Lineage: Eukaryota; Metazoa; Chordata; Mammalia; Carnivora; Ursidae
Exons: 3
Source: RefSeq, a predicted model, not a curated record